Molecule: ribosomal RNA, 440 nt
Filed under: uncultured bacterium
Lineage: Bacteria
Description: partial 16S ribosomal RNA
Rfam family: Bacterial small subunit ribosomal RNA
Source: RNAcentral
CCUACGGGAGGCAGCAGUGGGGGAUAUUGCACAAUGGGGGAAACCCUGAUGCAGCGACGCCGCGUGGGUGAAGAAGCGCCUCGGCGCGUAAAGCCCUGUCAGCAGGGAAGAAAAUGACGGUACCUGAAGAAGAAGCCCCGGCUAACUACGUGCCAGCAGCCGCGGUAAUACGUAGGGGGCAAGCGUUAUCCGGAUUUACUGGGUGUAAAGGGGGCGCAGACGGGGAUGCAAGCCAGGAGUGAAAGCCCGGGGCCCAACCCCGGGACUGCUGUUGGAACUGCGUGGCGAGAGUGCAGGAGGGGCAGGCGGAAUGCCUGGUGUAGCGGUGAAAUGCGUAGAUAUCAGGAGGAACACCGGUGGCGAAGGCGGCCUGCUGGACUGCAACUGACGUUGAGGCCCGAAAGCGUGGGGAGCAAACAGGAUUAGAGACCCCGGUAGUC